Neofelis nebulosa (Clouded leopard) is the source of this 717-nucleotide long non-coding RNA. RefSeq lists it as uncharacterized. The transcript has 4 exons. The record is from RefSeq and is a predicted model, not a curated record. NCBI's taxonomy places the organism in Eukaryota, Metazoa, Chordata, Mammalia, Carnivora, Felidae.
AUCCCAAGUAGAAAGGACAGCAUAUGUAAAAUUUCUGAGGCAGGAAUAAUCUCGGUGCAACAGAGGAACAGCAAAUGUGCCAGUGAGGCUAGAGGGGUAGGAACAAAGGAAUGACAGUAGAAGAUGAGGACACAGGAGACAUAAAGGCAGGGCCAGAUGUCAUGGACCUUGAAAGCCAUGGUUCCAUAAAAUAGUGACUUCCAUCUUGCUAACCAGCUCUUGAUUGGUGACUUUGAUGAAGCAUACGGACAUAUGGAGAGGACAAUGUGGCAAGGGACCAAGAGUGACUUCUGGUCAACAGUCACUAAGGAACUGAGACUCUCAGUUCAACAGUUCAGAAGGAACUGAAACUUCCAAUUAUUACAGGAGCACGAAAUCUGAUGCUUCCUCCUUUGAGCAUUCACAUGAAGACCCCACCAUGGCAGCUUUGGAAACAGGAAACUUUGGAAAACUUCCUACUAAGGACAAUGAAGUUUGAUGUUCAGGCACAAAAAAGAGCUAAAGAAUUAUUCAAUAACUGCCCAGAAAAAGAAGUCAAUUUUACAAGGAGAGCCUAUAAAUAAGCUUCUUAAGGGCAACAACCACUUCUAUUCAUCUUUGAAUUCUUCACGCUGCAGUUUAAUUGGAGAAGUGUUUUAUUAUUGUAAAAGCCACUUGAUUACAACACAGCAUUUGCCGCAAACAAACAGGCAAUUAAAAAAAUAUAUUGCAAAACGA